This 358-nucleotide ribosomal RNA is filed under the name uncultured bacterium. RNAcentral's name for it is "bacterial SSU rRNA". It matches the Rfam family "Bacterial small subunit ribosomal RNA", at positions 8 to 353 of the family's 1533-position model. The record is from RNAcentral.
AGAGUUUGAUCCUGGCUCAGGAUGAACGCUAGCGACAGGCCUAACACAUGCAAGUCGAGGGGCAGCGAAGAGGUAGCAAUACCUUUGUCGGCGACCGGCGCACGGGUGAGUAACACGUAUGCAAUCCACCUGUAACAGGGGGAUAACCCGGAGAAAUCCGGACUAAUACCCCAUAAUAUGGGCGCUCCGCAUGGAGAGCCCAUUAAAGAGAGCAAUUUUGGUUACAGACGAGAACAUGCGCUCCAUUAGCCAGUUGGCGGGGUAACGGCCCACCAAAGCGACGAUGGAUAGGGGUUCUGAGAGGAAGGUCCCCCACAUUGGAACUGAGACACGGUCCAAACUCCUACGGGAGGCAGCA